GGCCACGUGGGCAGGAUGGGGUUAAAAGUGGCCCUGCUCCCCACAGGGGCCCAUUGCUCCCCGGCCACCACCAUCACCCCAUGCAGCACCCCACUGCACCGGCACCCGGCGUGGGCCACUGGCAUCUGGCAUGCACCACCGGCACCCGGCACGGGUCACCAGCACCCAGCGUGGGUCACCAGCACCCGGCAUGGGCCAUCAGCAGCCGGCAUGGGCCAUCAGCACCCAGCAUGGGCCACCUGUGCCCCAACCCGCCAUGCCCGACGUCGAAGGUGGUCCCAUGGCUGGGCCACGUGGGGUGCGCGAGGUGGCCCCGCACAGGCAGAAGCGAGCACUUCGCCAGAGGAGAGCAACCGCCGGACACCGACUGAGAGACAGUGCAGUCACCCAUAAAGUAGAAAGCACUACUAAACAGCACUGCAGGGUGUAGUGUUUCCUACUUUAUGGAUGAGUGUACUGUGGGCUACGGAGAAGAGAGCACCGCCGCGACCCGCGUGCCCGUCACGAGUUGUGCGCGGUCCGAGAGCAGAGGACAGGCUGUGCCUGGCUCCCAGGAGGGUGCCCACGCUUGGCCACCCACCCCAUGGGCACCACCACCCUCCCCGGGCUGCGGAUGCUCUGCUCACCCCCACUGUCCCUCUGGCACCUGGGGACCGGCCACGUGGGGAAGAGGGGUUGCACAGCCCGGUGCCCCACGUGCGCGGUGGAGGGGCCUGUCGGGUCAGAGCGAGCACCAUGCUGGGAGGCCAGGUAGGUAGCAAAGCCUCCAAUUCCCUUUUUUUUUUUUUUUCCACCCAUCUUCAUUUUCCAUAUGGCGAAGCCCUGGGAAGAGCUGGGAGGGGGCAGCCACGUGCAGUGGGGAGCGGCAUGGGAGGCGGACGGGGGGGUCCUGGCUUGCUUUGUGCUGCUGAAUGAUUGCUGGGUGCAGCAGGGCGAGGGGCUGCUAAAUAAAAGUCUUUUGGCAUUGA
Long non-coding RNA from Tyto alba (common barn owl), 968 nucleotides. RefSeq lists it as uncharacterized. NCBI's taxonomy places the organism in Eukaryota, Metazoa, Chordata, Aves, Strigiformes, Tytonidae. The record is from RefSeq and is a predicted model, not a curated record. The transcript has 2 exons.